Dermacentor albipictus is the source of this 435-nucleotide non-coding RNA. The record is from RefSeq and is a predicted model, not a curated record. NCBI's taxonomy places the organism in Eukaryota, Metazoa, Arthropoda, Arachnida, Ixodida, Ixodidae.
UAGCUCGCGUGUGCGAAAGUGCGACAAGAAGACUUGGGUCUCGCUGAAAACGCGCUGUAUGCGUGGCGCGUUAGGCGAACACGAACCAUCGAUGUUCAUACCUUGGAGUGCGUUGCCUUUAUCUAUGUUUGUCGUGGAAAGUUUGAUGGACGUGCCAAAGAAAUAAUGCGUUAUUAUUAGCGUACCUAAACUCGCCCACUACGCUACGGCAUAUAUGCUGGGAGUAACAUCGUCGACGCAGCACUGGCUACUUGAAGAGAGCCUUGCGACUUCGUCCGGCUGUUAAAAAGAAGAAUCUUGAAGACGUCGAAGCGAAGCUGGUUGACGUAGACGUCGCCACAAACAGGACAUUUUGCGAAGGGUCAAGCGCGGUGAUAUUUCUGGAGUUUCCAGGAUCGUUAAACGAACGCAGCAUGGUGAACGGAACGGCACGCA